Molecule: non-coding RNA, 28 nt
Filed under: Rattus norvegicus (Norway rat)
Lineage: Eukaryota; Metazoa; Chordata; Mammalia; Rodentia; Muridae
Source: RNAcentral
UGCAUCCAAGUGAAUGCAGGGCUGCAGC